CGUAGGUGGCAAGCGUUGUCCGGAGUUACUGGGUGUAAAGGGCGUGUAGGCGGGAAGAUAAGUCAGAUGUGAAAUUCCAUGGCUCAACUGUGGCGCUGCAUCUGAAACUAUUUUUCUUGAGUGAUGGAGAGGAAAGUGGAAUUCCUAGUGUAGCGGUGAAAUGCGUAGAUAUUAGGAGGAACACCAGUGGCGAAGGCGACUUUCUGGACAUUAACUGACGCUGAGGCGCGAAAGCGUGGGGAGCAAACAGGAUUAGAUACCCUGGUAGUCCACGCUGUAAACGAUGGAUACUAAGUGUAGGAGGUAUCGACCCCUCCUGUGCCGCAGUUAACACAAUAAGUAUCCCACCUGGGGAGUACGGCCGCAAGGUUG
Molecule: ribosomal RNA, 372 nt
Filed under: uncultured organism
Description: bacterial SSU rRNA
Rfam family: Bacterial small subunit ribosomal RNA
Source: RNAcentral